Molecule: long non-coding RNA, 448 nt
Filed under: Bos taurus (domestic cattle)
Lineage: Eukaryota; Metazoa; Chordata; Mammalia; Artiodactyla; Bovidae
Description: long non-coding RNA NONBTAT024962
Source: RNAcentral
ACCUUAGUCCUACGCAAUUAGUGUCUCUAAUUCAAAAUAAAGUCUGAAAACCAUGGGCUAGAGAAUUCAGUGUUCACGAUAUCUAAAAAUCCAUACAUGUGUACGUCCCUGAACCUUAGAGGUCAUUGAGCUAACAGUAUUUUUUUUUUUACUUUUAAUAGGAUUGAAAUUAUGUUUUACACUAUAUCACAGAUAUAGGAGAAUUGGGACUGGUUUUCCUCAUUUGCGAAGUUGGCAGCUGUCCCCACUGUAAUGGUCACCGUUACAGCAAAGGUGCCCUUUCUCCCACUGCUGGCGAGCACCUGGGCCUUUGCCUCUGCCUCUCCAGGUUCACACAGCUAGCCUUGGCCCUUCUUUUCUUGAAUCAAUGUAAGUUACUCUUCCGUGCAAUCCCUGAGCAACUGGCAUCAUUCUAAAUCUACUGAUGCUAGGGAUAUAACAUUUUUGG